Leucoraja erinaceus (little skate) is the source of this 1209-nucleotide long non-coding RNA. RefSeq lists it as uncharacterized. The record is from RefSeq and is a predicted model, not a curated record. NCBI's taxonomy places the organism in Eukaryota, Metazoa, Chordata, Chondrichthyes, Rajiformes, Rajidae. The transcript has 2 exons.
AAAUGCCUCACCCUAUAUCCCCUGAUGGGGAAGGAAAUGGAUUAGGGCUUUGGAGGAGGAGAAUGUGGGACGAUUAUUGGCCAUGAAAGAUUUGAAGGCACCAUUGGUAAAAGUAGUGGGAACCACUAAGUGUCAGAUAAAGAUGAUGUAAAUUGUUACAACUGGGCCGACAAAAGACUACAAACAUGGCCGCCGCUCACAAACUUACCGGCUACAGCGCCAUCUUCUGGUUGGAUGCCGUCAUGACCGAGGGUAUGCAGGCCCCUCAGCAAAUGUUACCCACUUAAGGUGAACCCCAAGGAACAAAGGGGAAUGAAAAGGUGGAGAGUUGAAAAUGAACAAGAAAAAGAAGGCAUGUGGACAUUAUAUUAUGAACUAUUGUGGUGGAAGUCAUUCUUCUUAAAGUCAAGCAGAAUUGAAGGAGGUGGUGGGAUUGUCAUUUAUUUCCAACCCCCGAUUCAGCAAACAGUUGGUCUCUGCGGUCAAUGUCAAUGAACAAGGCCCCUGGUUGAAAAGACUGAAAUAAGUGAUGAACUGACACAAGUGAGUCCUAUGAGGGAACCAAGCGGGGCCAGAGAAUUACAUGCCAAUAAUACAUGUCUUGGGGAACUUUUCCUCAAAGUCCUAUCAGGAGUGAAAUUAAUCUGGAGAUUAUAAGCCCUAACUGGACUGGGGUCCCCAAGAGAGAGAAAGGGAUUUAAGGAAGGAUGUCAAGAAAGGCCAGGAUGAGAAUUAAAAACCAAGGAGCUGUUGGCACAGAGUCCCCAUCUCGACUUGCCAAUCCAUUCUGUGAAAGCAGAGAACUGGGAUCUUGUAAAAUCAUGGAAGGAAGAAAAGCUGCAACCAAAGUGGACUGGACCCUACCUUGCGUUAUUAAUCACCGAGACAGCAGUACGAACAAAAGAAAAAGGGUGGACACACGCAAACCGAUUUAAGGGUCCUGUGGAGGCCCCACCGGACAAUAUCAGCCCGUAGACUGUGCGUGAAGGGAAGGAACCAUUGACUUUGUGCCUAUUCGGAUGUUGUAUUAUUCCCUGCGCUGGCCUUCAGAACACAGUAUGACUAGCGAGAGGAGGAUAGGGAGGCGAAGAAUCUGCUGCUAGCACUAGAAAAGGAAGAUAUAGUAUAAUUCAAAAGAUGCGUAGCAAAAAGAAAAAUGGUGGAUUGUGAGAGAAGGGUUAAUAGGGAUGAUUGAAUUAUACUAGAACU